UACGUAGGGACCAAGCGUUGUUCGGCUUUACUGGGCGUAAAGGGCGCGUAGGCGGCAAUUCAAGUCAUCUGUGAAAUCUCCGGGCUUAACCCGGAACGGUCAGGUGAUACUGUUUUGCUAGAGUGCGGAAGGGGCAAUCGGAAUUCUCGGUGUAGCGGUGAAAUGCGUAGAUAUCGAGAGGAACACCAGAGGUGAAGACGGGUUGCUGGGCCGACACUGACGCUGACAGCGCGAAAGCCAGGGGAGCAAACGGG
Molecule: ribosomal RNA, 254 nt
Filed under: uncultured bacterium
Lineage: Bacteria
Description: partial 16S ribosomal RNA
Rfam family: Bacterial small subunit ribosomal RNA
Source: RNAcentral